GUGGGUAGUUUGACUGGGGCGGUCUCCUCCUAAAGAGUAACGGAGGAGCACGAAGGUUGGCUAAUCCUGGUCGGACAUCAGGAGGUUAGUGCAAUGGCAUAAGCCAGCUUGACUGCGAGCGUGACGGCGCGAGCAGGUGCGAAAGCAGGUCAUAGUGAUCCGGUGGUUCUGAAUGGAAGGGCCAUCGCUCAACGGAUAAAAGGUACUCCGGGGAUAACAGGCUGAUACCGCCCAAGAGUUCAUAUCGACGGCGGUGUUUGGCACCUCGAUGUCGGCUCAUCACAUCCUGGGGCUGAAGUAGGUCCCAAGGGUAUGGCUGUUCGCCAUUUAAAGUGGUACGCGAGCUGGGUUUAGAACGUCGUGAGACAGUUCGGUCCCUAUCUGCCGUGGGCGCUGGAGAACUGAGGGGGGCUGCUCCUAGUACGAGAGGACCGGAGUGGACGCAUCACUGGUGUUCGGGUUGUCAUGCCAAUGGCACUGCCCGGUAGCUAAAUGCGGAAGAGAUAAGUGCUGAAAGCAUCUAAGCACGAAACUUGCCCCGAGAUGAGUUCUCCCUGAGACUUAAAGUCUCCUGAAGGAACGUUGAAGACGACGACGUUGAUAGGCCGGGUGUGUAAGCGCAGCGAUGCGUUGAGCUAACCGGUACUAAUG
This 651-nucleotide ribosomal RNA is filed under the name Salmonella enterica subsp. enterica serovar Heidelberg. RNAcentral describes it as "partial 23S ribosomal RNA". It matches the Rfam family "Bacterial large subunit ribosomal RNA", at positions 2261 to 2906 of the family's 2925-position model. RNAcentral also lists the same sequence under 1 other name. Lineage: Bacteria; Pseudomonadati; Pseudomonadota; Gammaproteobacteria; Enterobacterales; Enterobacteriaceae. The record is from RNAcentral.